Molecule: ribosomal RNA, 437 nt
Filed under: uncultured bacterium
Lineage: Bacteria
Description: bacterial SSU rRNA
Rfam family: Bacterial small subunit ribosomal RNA
Source: RNAcentral
ACGACCGGCGCACGGGUGAGUAACGCGUAUAGCAACCUGCCUAUAACUGGGGAAGUAGCUCCCUGAAAGGGGAAGUUAACACCGCAUAACACUAUUGAUUCGCAUGGAUUAGUAGUUAAAUGUAGCGAUACAGGUUAUAGAUGGGCAUGCGUGACAUUAGCUAGUUGGUGAGGUAACGGCUCACCAAGGCUACGAUGUCUAGGGGUUCUGAGAGGAAGGUCCCCCCACACUGGUACUGAGACACGGACCAGACUCCUACGGGAGGCAGCAGUGAGGAAUAUUGGUCAAUGGGCGCAAGCCUGAACCAGCCAUGUCGCGUGCAGGAAGACUGCCCUAUGGGUUGUAAACUGCUUUUAUAGUAGAAGAAACACAUCUACGUGUAGAUGUCUGCCAGUAUACUAUGAAUAAGCAUCGGCUAACUCCGUGCCAGCAGCCGC